RNAcentral lists this ribosomal RNA (434 nucleotides) under uncultured bacterium. RNAcentral describes it as "partial 16S ribosomal RNA". It matches the Rfam family "Bacterial small subunit ribosomal RNA", at positions 29 to 507 of the family's 1533-position model. The record is from RNAcentral.
GCGAACGCUGGCAGCAGGCUUAACACAUGCAAGUCGAGCGGGCACUUUCGGGUGUCAGCGGCGGACGGGUGAGUAACGCGUGGGAACGUGCCCUCUGGUUCGGAAUAACUCAGGGAAACUUGAGCUAAUACCGGAUACGCCCUUUUGGGGAAAGGCUUGCUGCCGGAGGAUCGGCCCGCGUCUGAUUAGCUAGUUGGUGAGGUAACGGCUCACCAAGGCGACGAUCAGUAGCUGGUCUGAGAGGAUGAUCAGCCACACUGGGACUGAGACACGGCCCAGACUCCUACGGGAGGCAGCAGUGGGGAAUAUUGGACAAUGGGCGCAAGCCUGAUCCAGCCAUGCCGCGUGAGUGAUGAAGGCCUUAGGGUUGUAAAGCUCUUUUUUCCGGGACGAUAAUGACGGUACCGGAGGAAUAAGCCCCGGCUAACUUCGUG